RNAcentral lists this long non-coding RNA (256 nucleotides) under Mus musculus (house mouse). RNAcentral describes it as "long non-coding RNA chrX:41372258-41372514". Lineage: Eukaryota; Metazoa; Chordata; Mammalia; Rodentia; Muridae. The record is from RNAcentral.
AUGCUUCUGGCUAGAGAUCUAUUCCACCUUUCCCUGGAAGAGGAAAAGAAAAAAUAUAAGAAGAAACAGCUGGUUCAGAGCCCAAGUUCUCAUUUCAUGGAUGUGAAAUGUCCAAGUUACUACAAGAUUACUACAGUUUUCAGCCAUAUUCAGACAGUGGUUCUUUGUGUGUGUUGCUCAACAGUGUUGUGCCAGUUCACAGGAGGAAAAAGCCAGGCUCACAGAGGGCUGUUCAUUUAGAAGAAAGCAACAUUAA